UGGCACUCUAGCCCGGGUGACAGAGUGAGACUCUGUCUCAAAUAAAAAAAAAAUGAAUAGUUAAGAUCUCCAUGCUUUAAGUGAGAUUUUGAAGUAUGAAAACAGAAGCCAUAUACGUCCCACUACAGGAAUUUCGCUUGCAAUAGGUUUUGUAAAGACUUGGUUUUUGGGGUUUUUGUUUUUUAAUUAUUUGUUUUCAUUCUUUCCGAAUCUUCUCAUUGGAAGACCUUGUUUAUUUUUAGUUUGGUACCCGGAAACCUCUCCAUUCCCCAGCAGUGUUCUGGUGGUCCUGGCAGUGACGGCGGUGGUCUUCCCUUUCCAGGUGCUUGGGCCUGUCUAGAGCGUUAUGAGCAAUGACAGCUGAGUCCUUAGAAGCCGUCCACCCGGGCAGUGAAUGACGUCAUGACGGCUACAACUCCGUUUAUUUCUUUCACAAAAUAAAAUCAUGCAUAAAAUUCCUAAGAUUGACCAAGAAAAGGUUGAAGGCUGUUUAACAAUUUACAUAAGUAAUCUUGACAAUAAGUUUUUUGUUGAAACACAGUUCAAAUGAAAGCAGAGGGGAAACCUUUUGGGUGGUUGGACACAAUCCAGCAAGACCAAGACCAAACCACUAGGGCCUCGUAAAUGACCUGGCUUCAGAUCACUGACGUGCUGGCACCAAUGGAGGGUAAGAAGAAAAACUACUUUACAAACGACAAACACACGGCAAGAAUUCUUGUUUGGAGAGUCAGAAAGCCAGUGUUAGUGUUGAUGAUAGAGAUUUUUAAAAGUCAGCUGUCUUGCUUUGAUGCAGUGAAUAAGUCUGUUUGGAAACCUCUUCAGAGCAGCAACAUCAUGACGUGACAACGGUCGGCUUUGCAAAUCCUACCACCGCUUGUGUCCCUUCUGCCCCCAGGACCCUUGUCCUGCAGCUUCCUCUCCAGGUCCUGUCCCAUUGGUUCCACAGCACUUUCAAGAUGUCAUUGGUUCUAGAAGGGAGAGUCACAUUUAUGUGUGAUUUUCUUAAGCUUUCCUCAUGAGAAUAGUCCUGCAAUAAUGACUGUAUGUUCUGAACAUGCUGUUUGCCUUGGGCUCGUGUGCGAUGAGCACACUUCCCGAAGGCCAACCAGUAGGGGACAAAUACAGGGACCAGGUGACCCUCCAUGUUUGGAAAGCCCCACGUACAAGCAGCAAGGACAAAAAGGUGCUGAGCUCAAAUUGGGUGCUGACGCGACGUGACCAAAGUGGACAAGAGCGAGUCUCUCCUGAUGGGUCCGUCUGGGGUCUGUGCUUACCUGGUUCCACCCAUGGGCAGGGUGCAGAAUGGCACCACUGGCAGCUGGCAGCCUGGGGAGAGGGCUCACGGCGGUUCCUCUGUGUACACGGCUAAUGCUCUGCGUUAGUCUCAGCCUUUUGCACUUACAUGGGCACAGUCAAGAUAAUAACCAUGCCACAAAAGCACAGCGUAUGACUAGAAGGGGACAGAUGGCUUUCCCUGGCAUGACAGAGCCAUAACUGAAGGGCGAGGCUACAUGACGCUGAUGUCAGCUCGUCUUUAUUUUACCAUCUGGCUCCUUGUCUAGGGCUCCCUCAAAAGGGAUGUCCCCGCUACCCUGCGCCGGGGCCUCCUCUCCCACACGGCAGUCCGUGCGGAAACACAAAGGAGGUGGAUGGUGCUGGUGUUCUGCGUAAGCCCCAUGCCAGGCUUGUUAGCAGAAGCCUCUUCCUUCACCCCGGCUGGCUUCCCCUUCGCAGCCAGGAGUCUCCACUUAAGUCCUUUUUAAUGAGAGGAGCUCAGCACUCACUCAAUGGUCCCCACCUUCCUCGUAAAGGAACUGAGCUCCACCCCCCCCCAGCAGCCACUUCCGACAGCAUCCCUAAUAGGAGCCUGACGCCUUCCUGCGACGCCUAUUCAGCGCCUGCACUUCUCGUCUUCAGAACCAACAGUGCUGUUUUUCAGAACAACAGCAUGGUGUUAAACUCACCCCAUUGGAAAUCCGACCCCAUCACCCCCUGCUCUCCCGAGUCAGCUUGCAGACUGAGGGUUACGUGUUCACAUACCGGCCCAUACGGAUAAUCCAGACUAAUGACAGGCCUGGUCGCUCACGGAUGAAUAUCGAAAACUUCACCAGUUUGAGCUUAUUCCACUGGAGCUCUGCCUCGACGAUCAUGUCGUUGGGUGAAGACUAUUCACGGAAGAGAGGUGUUCAGUGCUCAGAGAAGAAAGGGCAGAGUACAAGAGCUGCUUCUGUUUCCAGUUACUUGAGUGAUUUUUCAGGGGCUAAAUAAGCCACUUUAUCUAGAAGUGCUUAAACAAUUGCUUAAAUAAUGCAUGGGUGAGGGGAGGCUUUCUGAAUCCCAGUGGUGCCUUUGAUUUGAGAAAGAUUCGUUACAGGUUCCCAGACCUGCUUGUGGACAUCACCAGGACAUCCGUUCUACUAUUCUCUUUGUCCUUGUUUCCAACUGGUGGCAUUCUUCAAAUACAGAGCGGCAUGAGAAGAAUGAAGGUUCCUGAGCGCAAGAGACGACAGACAGUCAUCCCGGUUGGCCACGCGGAGUCCUCGUGUCUUUACCAUCACCUGCUCAUUCUGGACAUCUUGCGCCAUCUCCGAUUCCAUGGCAACCCUGUUUCCAUGUCUCUUGCAGCCUCCAGCAUACCCCAUGCCUUUGUGCAGAUUACAAAACAGUGGUCUCUCUAGGGACAUCAAUGAUAAAAAGACACACCCAGAGGCAGACAAUUUUACAGGACCCCUUGGUUGGACAAAACACAGACAGGUGGCCCUUCCGUUAGGUGGGUGUUGCCCUCAGGGCUUGGCAGGUCCAGCCUGGGCUGGAUUCCAUUCCCACCCCACUGCCUGUCCCGGUGCCUUUGCUUUGUGCAGAACUGCACAGUCUGAUCUGCGGCGCUGCUGUCUCUGCCCCCUUUCCCACUGCUGUGUCUAGAGCAGCCGUUCUCCAAGCACAAUUCUUGGACCGGUGGCACCGUCACCUAGAGACAUGCUGGAAACACAAGCUCUCAGUCCCCACUGCAGAGUUCCUGGCUCAGCAAGCAGCAAUCUGUGUUUAAUCAAACCCUCCAGAUGAUUCUGAUGUACACCAGAAAAGCACUUGGCACACAGUAGGUCUGCAGUAAAUGCUUGUUUGUUGAAUGAAUAAAUGAAUUUCUCCUUCACAAUGAAGCUCAAGCACCCUCUCCUUGAGACAGCCCCUUCCCCAGCCUCCCGCUUGCUCGGCUCUGUCCUCUCCGUGCUUGCACGGUGCUCCCUGCCGCCGUGCGCUGGGCCGCGGUGCUCUGCGAGAAGCUCUCUCCGUGCCCUGCCCUGGCUCUCCACGAGCACAGAGAUGGUGGUGCCCAAGCUGCACCCCUGUCGCCCCCAGCACAAUGCUUGGGCCACGCUGGAGACCCAGUUCACGUGGGCAGAAGACACAGCAAACAGCAAACGAUAAAGUCAUCACUGGGCCUGGCGUCUGUACCUGCCCAAAGACCAUGGGAUUCCAAUCAAUUCAAGAACCCAUGCUAAGAAGAAACUAUUUUGUCAUUAUGCCUCAAAUGUGCCAUUUCCUCUUGUUUAGUUGUUGUGCAUACUCACAGUUUAGUAAUAAAAUUUGUUUAUUAAAAUAUUUAA
Long non-coding RNA from Lemur catta (Ring-tailed lemur), 3605 nucleotides. RefSeq lists it as uncharacterized. The transcript has 2 exons. The record is from RefSeq and is a predicted model, not a curated record. Lineage: Eukaryota; Metazoa; Chordata; Mammalia; Primates; Lemuridae.